CCUACGGGAGGCAGCAGUGAGGAAUAUUGGUCAAUGGGCGUAAGCCUGAACCAGCCAAGUCGCGUGAGGGAUGAAGGUUCUAUGGAUCGUAAACCUCUUUUAUUAGGGAAUAAAGUGUGGGACGUGUCCUAUGUUUUAUGUAUCUUAUGAAUAAGGAUCGGCUAACUCCGUGCCAGCAGCCGCGGUAAUACGGAGGAUGCGGGCGUUAUCCGCAUUUAUUGGGGUUAAAGGGUGCGUAGGCGGCCUUUUAAGUCAGCGGUGAAAGUCUGCGGGUCAACCAUAGAAUUGCCGUUGAAACUGGGGGCCUUGAGUAUGUAUGAGGAAGGCGGAAUGCGUGGUGUAGCGGUGAAAUGCUUAGAUAUCACGAAGAACCCCGAUUGCGAAGGCAGGUGGCCAGG
This 398-nucleotide ribosomal RNA is filed under the name uncultured bacterium. Its description in RNAcentral is "partial 16S ribosomal RNA". It matches the Rfam family "Bacterial small subunit ribosomal RNA", at positions 338 to 733 of the family's 1533-position model. The record is from RNAcentral.